RNAcentral lists this ribosomal RNA (494 nucleotides) under uncultured bacterium. RNAcentral's name for it is "partial 16S ribosomal RNA". It matches the Rfam family "Bacterial small subunit ribosomal RNA", at positions 28 to 506 of the family's 1533-position model. The record is from RNAcentral.
GAUGAACGCUGGCGGCGUGCCUAAUACAUGCAAGUCGAGCGAACAGACGAGGAGCUUGCUCCUUUGACGUUAGCGGCGGACGGGUGAGUAACACGUAGGUAACCUACCUAUAAGACUGGGAUAACUUCGGGAAACCGGAGCUAAUACCGGAUAAUAUUUCGAACCGCAUGGUUCGAUAGUGAAAGAUGGCUUUGCUAUCACUUAUAGAUGGACCUGCGCCGUAUUAGCUAGUUGGUAAGGUAACGGCUUACCAAGGCAACGAUACGUAGCCGACCUGAGAGGGUUACGCCCCACACGGGACCAGACACGCGCCCCACACCCCUGGGGGGGGCAGCGGGGGAAACUUUCCCACAGGGGGAAAGCCCCACGGGGCGAAGCCCCGGGGGUGAUAAAAGGUUUUGGGUCUUAAAACUCUCUUUUUUGGGGAAAAAAAAAGCGUGAGUAAAUGUGCGCGCCUUGAGGGGACCUAAACAGAAAACCCCGCCUAACCCCGC